Molecule: ribosomal RNA, 1552 nt
Filed under: Staphylococcus aureus
Lineage: Bacteria; Bacillati; Bacillota; Bacilli; Caryophanales; Staphylococcaceae
Description: 16S ribosomal RNA
Rfam family: Bacterial small subunit ribosomal RNA
Source: RNAcentral
UUUAUGGAGAGUUUGAUCCUGGCUCAGGAUGAACGCUGGCGGCGUGCCUAAUACAUGCAAGUCGAGCGAACGGACGAGAAGCUUGCUUCUCUGAUGUUAGCGGCGGACGGGUGAGUAACACGUGGAUAACCUACCUAUAAGACUGGGAUAACUUCGGGAAACCGGAGCUAAUACCGGAUAAUAUUUUGAACCGCAUGGUUCAAAAGUGAAAGACGGUCUUGCUGUCACUUAUAGAUGGAUCCGCGCUGCAUUAGCUAGUUGGUAAGGUAACGGCUUACCAAGGCAACGAUGCAUAGCCGACCUGAGAGGGUGAUCGGCCACACUGGAACUGAGACACGGUCCAGACUCCUACGGGAGGCAGCAGUAGGGAAUCUUCCGCAAUGGGCGAAAGCCUGACGGAGCAACGCCGCGUGAGUGAUGAAGGUCUUCGGAUCGUAAAACUCUGUUAUUAGGGAAGAACAUAUGUGUAAGUAACUGUGCACAUCUUGACGGUACCUAAUCAGAAAGCCACGGCUAACUACGUGCCAGCAGCCGCGGUAAUACGUAGGUGGCAAGCGUUAUCCGGAAUUAUUGGGCGUAAAGCGCGCGUAGGCGGUUUUUUAAGUCUGAUGUGAAAGCCCACGGCUCAACCGUGGAGGGUCAUUGGAAACUGGAAAACUUGAGUGCAGAAGAGGAAAGUGGAAUUCCAUGUGUAGCGGUGAAAUGCGCAGAGAUAUGGAGGAACACCAGUGGCGAAGGCGACUUUCUGGUCUGUAACUGACGCUGAUGUGCGAAAGCGUGGGGAUCAAACAGGAUUAGAUACCCUGGUAGUCCACGCCGUAAACGAUGAGUGCUAAGUGUUAGGGGGUUUCCGCCCCUUAGUGCUGCAGCUAACGCAUUAAGCACUCCGCCUGGGGAGUACGACCGCAAGGUUGAAACUCAAAGGAAUUGACGGGGACCCGCACAAGCGGUGGAGCAUGUGGUUUAAUUCGAAGCAACGCGAAGAACCUUACCAAAUCUUGACAUCCUUUGACAACUCUAGAGAUAGAGCNUUCCCCUUCGGGGGACAAAGUGACAGGUGGUGCAUGGUUGUCGUCAGCUCGUGUCGUGAGAUGUUGGGUUAAGUCCCGCAACGAGCGCAACCCUUAAGCUUAGUUGCCAUCAUUAAGUUGGGCACUCUAAGUUGACUGCCGGUGACAAACCGGAGGAAGGUGGGGAUGACGUCAAAUCAUCAUGCCCCUUAUGAUUUGGGCUACACACGUGCUACAAUGGACAAUACAAAGGGCAGCGAAACCGCGAGGUCAAGCAAAUCCCAUAAAGUUGUUCUCAGUUCGGAUUGUAGUCUGCAACUCGACUACAUGAAGCUGGAAUCGCUAGUAAUCGUAGAUCAGCAUGCUACGGUGAAUACGUUCCCGGGUCUUGUACACACCGCCCGUCACACCACGAGAGUUUGUAACACCCGAAGCCGGUGGAGUAACCUUUUAGGAGCUAGCCGUCGAAGGUGGGACAAAUGAUUGGGGUGAAGUCGUAACAAGGUAGCCGUAUCGGAAGGUGCGGCUGGAUCACCUCCUUU